AUUGAACGCUGGCGGCAGGCCUAACACAUGCAAGUCGAACGGUAGCACAGAGGAGCUUGCUCCUUGGGUGACGAGUGGCGGACGGGUGAGUAAUGUCUGGGAAACUGCCCGAUGGAGGGGGAUAACUACUGGAAACGGUAGCUAAUACCGCAUAACGUCUUCGGACCAAAGUGGGGGACCUUCGGGCCUCACACCAUCGGAUGUGCCCAGAUGGGAUUAGCUAGUAGGUGGGGUAAUGGCUCACCUAGGCGACGAUCCCUAGCUGGUCUGAGAGGAUGACCAGCCACACUGGAACUGAGACACGGUCCAGACUCCUACGGGAGGCAGCAGUGGGGAAUAUUGCACAAGGGGCGCAAGCCUGAUGCAGCCAUGCCGCGUGUAUGAAGAAGGCCUUCGGGUUGUAAAGUACUUUCAGCGGGGAGGAAGGCGUUAAGGUUAAUAACCUUGGCGAUUGACGUUACCCGCAGAAGAAGCACCGGCUAACUCCGUGCCAGCCGCCGCGGUAA
RNAcentral lists this ribosomal RNA (506 nucleotides) under uncultured bacterium. RNAcentral describes it as "partial 16S ribosomal RNA". It matches the Rfam family "Bacterial small subunit ribosomal RNA", at positions 30 to 523 of the family's 1533-position model. The record is from RNAcentral.